This 449-nucleotide ribosomal RNA is filed under the name uncultured bacterium. RNAcentral describes it as "bacterial SSU rRNA". It matches the Rfam family "Bacterial small subunit ribosomal RNA", at positions 330 to 794 of the family's 1533-position model. The record is from RNAcentral.
UCCAGACUCCUACGGGAGGCAGCAGUGGGGGAUAUUGCACAAUGGGGGGAACCCUGAUGCAGCGACGCCGCGUGGGUGAAGAAGCGCCUCGGCGCGUAAAGCCCUGUCAGCAGGGAAGAAAAUGACGGUACCUGAAGAAGAAGCCCCGGCUAACUACGUGCCAGCAGCCGCGGUAAUACGUAGGAUCCGAGCAUUAUCCGGAGUGACUGGGUGUAAAGAGUUGCGUAGGUGGCAUAAUAAGUAGCUAGUGAAAUCUGGUGGCUCAACCAUUCAGACUAUUAGCUAAACUGUUAAGCUCGAGACCGUUAGGGGUAACUGGAAUUUCUAGUGUAGGAGUGAAAUCCGUAGAUAUUAGAAAGAACACCAAUAGCGUAGGCAGGUUACUGGGACGGUUCUGACACUAAGGCACGAAAGCGUAGGGAGCAAACGGGAUUAGAUACCCGAGUAAC